AAUUGAUUAUGACGCGUCUAUUGUUUUUAAGUCUAUGGCGUAUAUAGUUUUGUAUAUAUAUAUAGUAGCCGUCAACUGUGAGAACAUACAAGCCCUAUAACCCAAGAUGGCACGACACUUGGUAAUCAUUGUCGCAGUUAUUGUAGCAGCAGCGGCCCUACCCGAACCAGGGAUCCACGUGGUUCACACAGCGCCACUGUACCACGCACCAAUCGUCCACCACGCUCCGAUUGUACACCACGCGCCAAUCUUACACCACGCACCAAUCGUGCAUCACGCACCUAUCGUACAUCACGCACCAAUCGGUUACCAUCAUCCGAUUGUUAAAGUGAAAUCACAUUAUCAUCUUUUUGGUAAAUAAACUGUAGAAUGGUA
Long non-coding RNA from Zerene cesonia (dogface butterfly), 375 nucleotides. RefSeq lists it as uncharacterized. The record is from RefSeq and is a predicted model, not a curated record. Lineage: Eukaryota; Metazoa; Arthropoda; Insecta; Lepidoptera; Pieridae. The transcript has 2 exons.